Molecule: ribosomal RNA, 468 nt
Filed under: uncultured bacterium
Lineage: Bacteria
Description: partial 16S ribosomal RNA
Rfam family: Bacterial small subunit ribosomal RNA
Source: RNAcentral
GACGAACGCUGGCGGCGUGCUUAACACAUGCAAGUCGAACGGAAAGGCCCUGCUUUUGUGGGGUGCUCGAGUGGCGAACGGGUGAGUAACACGUGAGUAACCUGCCCUUGACUUUGGGAUAACUUCAGGAAACUGGGGCUAAUACCGGAUAGGAGCUCCUGCUGCAUGGUGGGGGGUGGAAAGUUUCGGCGGUUGGGGAUGGACUCGCGGCUUAUCAGCUUGGUGGUGGGGUAGUGGCUUACCAAGGCUUUGACGGGUAGCCGGCCUGAGAGGGUGACCGGCCACAUUGGGACUGAGAUACGGCCCAGACUCCUACGGGAGGCAGCAGUGGGGAAUAUUGCACAAUGGGCGGAAGCCUGAUGCAGCAACGCCGCGUGCGGGAUGACGGCCUUCGGGUUGUAAACCGCUUUCGCCUGUGACGAAGCGUGAGUGACGGUAAUGGGUAAAGAAGCACCGGCUAACUACGUG